RNAcentral lists this ribosomal RNA (250 nucleotides) under uncultured bacterium. RNAcentral's name for it is "partial 16S ribosomal RNA". It matches the Rfam family "Bacterial small subunit ribosomal RNA", at positions 524 to 773 of the family's 1533-position model. The record is from RNAcentral.
UACAGAGGUCUCGAGCGUUAAUCGGAAUUACUGGGCUUAAAGGGUGCGUAGGCGGGCCCGCAGGCGUCUUGUGAAAGCCCCCGGCUCAACCGGGGAACAGCAGGGCGAACCGCGGGUCUCGAGGCAGGCAUGGGCGGUCGGAACGGUAGGUGGAGCGGUGAAAUGCGUAGAUAUCUACCGGAACGCCGAUGGUGAAGACGGGCCGCUGGGCCUGACCUGACGCUGAGGCACGAAAGCGUGGGGAUCAAAC